This 356-nucleotide RNase P RNA is filed under the name Acinetobacter pittii. RNAcentral's name for it is "RNase P RNA component class A". It matches the Rfam family "Bacterial RNase P class A". Rfam says of the family: Ribonuclease P (RNase P) is a ubiquitous endoribonuclease, found in archaea, bacteria and eukarya as well as chloroplasts and mitochondria. Lineage: Bacteria; Pseudomonadati; Pseudomonadota; Gammaproteobacteria; Moraxellales; Moraxellaceae. The record is from RNAcentral.
GAGGUGAGCUGGAUGGUCGCUGCUGUGGAGGUCUUCGUGACUGAAGCAGGGGAGGAAAGUCCGGGCUUCAUAGGGCAGGGUGCCAGGUAACGCCUGGGCGGUGAAAGCCGACGGAAAGUGCAGCAGAGAGUAGACCGCCUCAUUCGUGAGGUAAGGGUGAAAGGGUGCGGUAAGAGCGCACCGCGUGUCUGGUAACAGUUCACGGCAUGGUAAACCCCACCAGAAGCAAGACCAAAUAGGAAUCCUGAGGUACGGCCCGUACUGGAUUCGGGUAGGUCGCUUGAGCGUAUGAGUGAUUGUACGCCUAGAGGAAUGACCAUUCUCGACAGAACCCGGCUUAUAGGCUCACUUCACCU